UUUCAGCUAGUGGUCUCAAGCCUAUGGUGACUCGCCAACAGAGGUUAGGCGUUGGUGGUUUUCUGGAGCAGACGUUACUUCUCCAGUGAGGGUCAGAUCGUUCCUGCAACCGAUGGACUGAAGCCGUUGGUGACGCGCAGAGAUUACCCCACAGAAGGUUAUGGCGUUGGUGGUUUUCUGAAGCCGAUAAUACUUCGCUAGAGAGGAUCGGGCCGAUGGUCUGAAGCUGAUGGUGACUUCGUCAGCAAAGAAGAAGAAUACGUCUUCAAAGAGGAUCGAAGUAUGACCAAAGGUAUUGUGAUCUGUUAGCGGUCAGGCUGUCAAAGCCUGGUUGGAACCAUCGCCGUCUCACAUACCAAAAGAAUUAAAGGAGAAAUCAAAAGCGACUGAAGAAAGCAAUGUUUUUCCAUGCCCUAUAAUGGAGUUGCACUUGAAACUCCAGGGCAAAGACGAGUACCUAUGUGAUACUUGGCCAGACACUAUGAAUGAGUUGGUCAAUGCCAAAGAUAAAAACCAUGACUUGGUCGAAUUGUGUAAUCCAGGAAAGACUGCAGGCUGUAGAUUUAAAUGACGACUGAAGAAAAAAUCAAUAUCAAUUAUUAUUCAAGGUAUGUUUUUUUUGUUUUGUGUGAUGAUGUGACUGAGUUCCUUGCGCUGCUGGUCCGUUUAUAGUCCUGAAGCAGU
Long non-coding RNA from Ostrinia nubilalis (European corn borer), 684 nucleotides. RefSeq lists it as uncharacterized. The transcript is spliced from 3 exons. The record is from RefSeq and is a predicted model, not a curated record. NCBI's taxonomy places the organism in Eukaryota, Metazoa, Arthropoda, Insecta, Lepidoptera, Crambidae.